ACUUUUGGUGUCAUGUAAUACGCAUGGCAUGAGAAAACAAUGUCAAAAACCUAAAAAAUUAUCAAAAUUCAAAAAAAUAUUAUAAAAUAUUUAAUAAAGGCACCGAUUUUCACAUCUUUUCUUUGUCUGCUAAAGAGCUUUUAGGAAAUGGAUGAUUCAUAUCUUGUGAAAAAAUCGUGUUUCAAAAUUCGAAGCGGUGAAAAAGUGUGCAGUGGAUCAUUGUGGACCAAACUUUUGAGAAAAAAUUCUAAUAUUAGUUAACCGCUCCUGAAGUAUUGGCAUUAAGAAAACUUGAAUUCAACUUAUAAUAUAUCUGACGUCUAAGCCUCUAAAGUCACUUCUCAGCUUAGUAGACUCAUGGCUAACAUAGGAGGUUCAACUCAAGAGAAAAGGAAGCUUGUCAUUGCGGCAACCCUUAACAUCUUACUGUAUGGAGCCGAGCUUUUGGCGGACUCACUUAAGAAGUAUAAUAGGCGAAUGGUACUGGUCAAAGCAUACCGCGGAUUUGAGGGUAGCGUCGGCAUACCGUACAGUAUCAGGGAAAGCUAUAGCUGUAAUAAGCGGAAGGGUUCCCAUCGAAGUAUUGACAGGCGAAAUAAAAAGAAACUGGACGCUCAAAAAAAUGAAGAACCAAGGCCGCACUGUCAAUACAAAUAGAGGGAACAUAAGGAAAGAAACUUUGAACCAGUGGCAAGCCCGAUGGGAAGAAGGAAGUCAUGGCUGAUGGAUGGCUAGAUUAAUAGCAGACGCCAGAAUAUGGACAACUAGGAAAUUCGGGGAUGUUUACUACUACAUUGUCUAGAAGUUGACUGGUCACGGAUAUUUCAGGAAGAUGACGCCAAUCAUACAAUCUUUCAAUGCACUCGCUAGCAAGUCGCGAGAAUCAGACUUGAAAACACAGUUGGAGAACUAAAAGUAGAUAACAUUUUCUCAAUUAUUCCACAAAGCGAAGCAAACUGGGUUAAUAUCAAGAGGUUCGCAGAAAAAGUAUUACGAGACGCGAAAAAUGGAACGCCACCCUGAAAUAAUGCGAAAGCGGCUCCACGGUGGGCGACAGUUCCCUAGAGGAGAGUUUUUUAGUGAUCUGCAAGUGGCACAUACCAUUGAUAUGACAACACAAUGAUGAAGCAUUUUUCUUCUCCUCACCCGUAAAAAAAAGAAGA
This is a long non-coding RNA of Ceratitis capitata (Mediterranean fruit fly), 1163 nucleotides long. RefSeq lists it as uncharacterized. The transcript has 3 exons. The record is from RefSeq and is a predicted model, not a curated record. Lineage: Eukaryota; Metazoa; Arthropoda; Insecta; Diptera; Tephritidae.